CAGGUUUGAGUUGGAUAAUGGAUUGACCUAAGUCUGAAGUACUGCAGAUGUGAAUUAGGAUCACUGUGUGUGAUUUAUUUCUGCUUCUUCAAUGAAUGAUAAAAAACAUAUUUUUCUGUAUGUAUUUCUCCAUUUACAGUGUAGGACUUCAUGAAUGAAUUGUCAGAUCAGGUUCAGAGAAAUCAUGUGAUCUGAUGACACAAAGAAUGAGCUCUGUCCCAUGCAGGUCCAAGAGAAGGCAGCUGUGAUGGCACUCUGGUGCAUGGAAGCCAUGGAGAUGUGGGGCUCUGCACAAGGAAAUCUGCAUGCUGAAUGGAAGGAAUAAGAUAAUUAAAAAUGGCUAAUAUUCCCACAAGUACAAAGCCACAGCGAUGUACUUUCAUCUCCUUCUGAGGGCUUCAUGUCAUUUUAAAAAUAAGAAAACCUCCCCCAGCUGGAUCAAGUGUUUACUGCAGGAAAAAAAAAAAUUAAAUAUAUAUCCAUAACUGUAAAAGAAUGUCUCCCAGUCCAAAGGCUGUCUGAAGAUUCCUGUCAAAGAUCAAAGGACUGUGCAAGGGGCCAGGCAUAUAUGGGAAUCUAUGUGCAGUUUAUGCUCUCUGCUGGAUAAGAAAUGCUGUGAGCCAAGUUACAAAGAAAUUAGAAAUUCACUUUUGAUUGUGUUAACCUGGUUUGUACCUCCUAUAUCAUCAUCUUACCUUUGCUUUGAAUUGAAAGUGGCAAGGACUACAGGUAGAAAAAUAAUAUUAGAGAAUUGUUAAAAUGAACAAUUAUCCACUAGAGGCAUCCAUUUCAGUGACCUAGGAAUUGCCAUGAAGACUCAAAAAACAUGUAUCACCAUAUUUCCAAAAAAAAACCCCACCCUACCUCUGGUCAGAGUCGUGUACCAAGAUAAGGGCAAAGGUUAAGCCAGGAUAGUUCAGCAUCAGCAACUGUCCUUUCUGGCUUUAUGGAAGAGGGAGGAAAGGAGGUUUGGGGGAAAGUGGAACAGUGGUUUUAAUACAGACAAUUUGGCAUUGGAGGCAAGGCAGAAGGCAACAAGCUGCCUAGCUGAGGGAUGAGGGUCCUGGGGUUGGAGGAUGCUGCAGUCUGACAGGGAGGCUGCAGGAAACCUGGCAGAAGGUUGUGCUUGAGAAGAGGAGAA
Molecule: non-coding RNA, 1141 nt
Organism: Anas platyrhynchos (mallard)
Lineage: Eukaryota; Metazoa; Chordata; Aves; Anseriformes; Anatidae
Source: RefSeq, a predicted model, not a curated record